This 95-nucleotide ribosomal RNA is filed under the name Medicago citrina. The record is from RNAcentral. Lineage: Eukaryota; Viridiplantae; Streptophyta; Magnoliopsida; Fabales; Fabaceae.
AGGUGCGAUCAUACCAGCACUAAUGCACCGGAUCCCAUCAGAACUUCGCAGUUAAGCGUGCUUGGGCGAGAGUAGUACUGGGAUGGAUGACCUCC